ACACAGCUAUACGCGGCACAGUGAGUGGUGACGUGAAGCAUUCUGGUCAAAACCUAUGUGAGUGUGUGUCCAAUGUUAGGUGCGAUUGAAUUCAUUGGAAUUUUCUUUUAUUUUGUAGAAAUCGAACUUACUUCCACCUUUUUUAAUAAUGAACAUAAUAAACCUGUUACUUUAAUUUAUUUACCACAUUCACUAACCAUUUAUUGACGCUGUAGUGCUGAGAAAAUAUACGUAUGAAUUGUAUUUAUUUGUACGCAUAAUUGUGUGUAGCAAAAACUGAAUACAAUAACAAAACAGCAAAAAUAUUGCCAUAUUAUAAUGCCACGUACAAAUCAUAUUUUGCACGCACGCUCACUGUCCAGCAUGUGCUACGACUACGACGCACACAAUCACAAACCAUUGGAAGGGAAAGGAACGACCAACGGUGUAGUGUGACGUCAUUGGAAGAAGAGUAGAAACGGUCGGGAGGGCGGAGGGAAGGACGACAUCAAUCAAAUCGAGCUCUCUAAUGCGAUGCGUCGCACGUGUCGCGAGUGUGUAGGUCUCACGCAUACGCUUGCACGCACACGCAUACAAACAAACGCACGCGUACACACACACUCACACAUACGGUUCGUUCGUUUCGUAAGCUGAUGAUAAUUACAUUGGUCCACAGCUGGUUUUAGCCGCAGAGAAUAAGUAAACAAUAUUGAGAAUAGAAUUGCUUAAAAGGUCUGCGAAUCAGCAGUAUUUUUUCUAGCUUUAUUGAACCUUUUGCGAGGCUGCAUAGUUUCCCUGUCGAUGUAGAUUCCAUUUGCAUAACGAUACACAUUGCCUGAUUAGUGGGGGUUGGGAUAUGAAUACACACACACACACAUACAUUGGCUUGUUCAGACAGCUGCUUCGCGGGAGAUGCUACCCAGGGAAUGAAAUCAUCACACUUGCUCGUUCUGCCCAACGAACCACGGAGCGUCGACCGAGCGAGAAAGCAUAUGCUGGUUUGGUUCCCUGUGUAAUCCAAGUGUGCAAUAGGUGAGUGUUUUGGAUGUGUUGGUGUAAGAAAGAUUUAAUGCAGGGAGUUUUCUACUGCAUCAGGCGAGUAGAAACCUGUCCAAAAAUCAAUUUUAAGCUACCGUUUUACACUAUUCAUUAGGAUUUUCUUGUGAUUUUUAUGGUGUUUUAAAACGUGACUGCUCGCAAACUACUUUCUUCCAUCGUUACCGCUAUCGUCAGUAAUAAUGAAACCGAACGAAUAUUUGAAUGAUGCUCUCCUACCGUUUUACCUUUCUAUUAAACACGCGUCUGAGUGUGUGCGUGCAUUAGUGCUGUUUACAUUCUAUCGCAACACCACUACAACCGUACCGCGGUAACAGCUUUUGCACGUGUUGACAGCCCGCUCGCUGCUAUGACUCAUCUUGCCAGGCUCGGCCGCGCGCUUCCCGCCGCUCUUUCCACCCUCUACUGCAACCUUCCACAAACAUCGAGUGGCUAUGGCGCAGCGCGUUCUGCAGCGCUUGCUUCAAUGUGUGUCUGUUGGAUUUCGAUGUCACGAACUCGAUUCGCCGUUUGCUUUCGUCACUUACCUUGCACUGGCUGGGGGUUACAACGCGGGCUGUGUCUCACCCCCUGCUUAUCCCUCUAUCCGUGUCUGUAUCGUGCCUGGCGGGCCUCCGCCGCAUCGUUAUGGCUGUCUGGAUUCUCCAGAAGUAACCCCACCAUCCACACACGGCUUUUUGGUUGGUUUGCAAUGUUGUCUAUUUCAAUUCCCAGCAGUACCGGUAAGCAGUGGAAUUUUACCGACAGAAUCAUCACGGAAUCAAGCGGGGGGACGAUAAACAAAUGGUCGCUACACGUGACACCGCCGCUCAGGGUGCUGUGUUUCCCGCGCGGAUGAAUAUCGAUAAGCCCUCUCACCUGGGUCAAAUCCAGCUCUUCAUACAUAUUGCUAUGUCAUUUAGACAAUCAGCACAGCAGAACAGUGAUAAACAACCCGGCCCAAGCAGUCCAGCUCGGAAAUGUCUUACUGGCCUCACGCCAUGUGAGUAGCGGUUUGUGUUUCCUACAAUCCAACUGUGCUGCUCGCCACGAGCAGCACAAAACUACCCACCAAAAUGUAAUUGAACGACUAUAAUCUGCUGACGCAAGCAGAAACCGUAAUAAACCGACACGUUAGGUUGCAAUUAGCUUCA
This is a long non-coding RNA of Anopheles gambiae (African malaria mosquito), 2168 nucleotides long. RefSeq lists it as uncharacterized. The transcript is spliced from 2 exons. Lineage: Eukaryota; Metazoa; Arthropoda; Insecta; Diptera; Culicidae. The record is from RefSeq and is a predicted model, not a curated record.